GAUGAACGCUAGCUACAGGCUUAACACAUGCAAGUCGCAGGGUAACAUGAGGAAAGCUUGCUUUCCUUGAUGCCGACUGGCGCACGGGUGAGUAACGCGUAUCCAACCUUCCCAUAACUACGGGAUAACCCGUUGAAAGACGGCCUAAUACCGUAUGAUAUCGUUUGCUGACAUCAAAUAACGAUUAAAGGUUUAGCGGUUAUGGAUGGGGAUGCGUCUGAUUAGCUUGUUGGCGGGGUAACGGCCCACCAAGGCGACGAUCAGUAGGGGUUCUGAGAGGAAGGUCCCCCACAUUGGAACUGAGACACGGUCCAAACUCCUUCGGGAGGCAGCAGUGAGGAAUAUUGGUCAAUGGGCGAGAGCCUGAACCAGCCAAGUAGCGUGCAGGAUGACGGCCCUAUGGGUUGUAAACUGCUUUUAUGUGGGGAUAAAGUGCGUGACGUGUCAUGCAUUGCAGGUACCACAUGAAUAAGGACCGGCUAAUUCCGUG
RNAcentral lists this ribosomal RNA (490 nucleotides) under uncultured bacterium. Its description in RNAcentral is "partial 16S ribosomal RNA". It matches the Rfam family "Bacterial small subunit ribosomal RNA", at positions 28 to 507 of the family's 1533-position model. The record is from RNAcentral.